This 80-nucleotide small nucleolar RNA is filed under the name Meriones unguiculatus (Mongolian gerbil). RNAcentral describes it as "Small nucleolar RNA SNORD19B (ENSMUGG00000026885.1)". It matches the Rfam family "Small nucleolar RNA SNORD19B". The record is from RNAcentral. Lineage: Eukaryota; Metazoa; Chordata; Mammalia; Rodentia; Muridae.
UGAUGAUUGAAAUAUGAUGAGUACACAGAAUGUUGAUUAGAGUGAAAAACAAUAAGAUCCAACUCUGAUUUCAUCUAAAG